This 253-nucleotide ribosomal RNA is filed under the name uncultured bacterium. RNAcentral describes it as "partial 16S ribosomal RNA". It matches the Rfam family "Bacterial small subunit ribosomal RNA", at positions 524 to 776 of the family's 1533-position model. The record is from RNAcentral.
UACAGAGGGUGCGAGCGUUGUCCGGACUCACUGGGCGUAAAGGGCGCGUAGGUGGCGACCCAAGUCCGUGGUGAAAGCUCGUCGCUUAACGACGAGUCGGACACGGAGACUGGGUGGCUCGAGCACUGUAGGGGCAGAUGGAAUUCCGGGUGUAGCGGUGGAAUGCGUAGAGAUCCGGAAGAACACCAGUGGCGAAGGCGGUCUGCUGGGCAGUUGCUGACACUGAGGCGCGACAGCGUGGGGAGCAAACAGG